Molecule: ribosomal RNA, 562 nt
Filed under: Strongylura hubbsi (Maya needlefish)
Lineage: Eukaryota; Metazoa; Chordata; Actinopteri; Beloniformes; Belonidae
Description: partial 16S ribosomal RNA
Rfam family: Bacterial large subunit ribosomal RNA
Source: RNAcentral
GCCUCUUGUAUAAUAAAAAUAAGAGGUCCCGCCUGCCCUGUGACACUAGUUUAACGGCCGCGGUACUUUGACCGUGCGAAGGUAGCGCAAUCACUUGUCUUUUAAAUGAAGACCUGUAUGAAUGGCAUAACGAGGGCUUAACUGUCUCCUUUUUCUAAUCAAUAAAAUUGAUCUCCCCGUGCAGAAGCGGGGAUGUACCCAUAAGACGAGAAGACCCUGUGGAGCUUAAGACAACAGACAGACCAUGUUGAUAAACCUAACCUAAAUAGAAUAAACUAAUUGAUUACUGUCUUACAUCUUUGGUUGGGGUGACCGAGGGAUAACAAAAAACUCCCACGUAGAAAGAGAGCAUCCUCUCACAACCCAGAGUGACAACUCCAAGUAACAGAACUUCUGACUAACAAUGAUCCGGCAAUGCUGAUCAACGAACCCAGUUACCCCAGGGAUAACAGCGCAAUCCCCUCCAAGAGCCCUUAUCAACGAGGGGGUUUACGACCUCGAUGUUGGAUCAGGACAUCCUAAUGGUGCAGCCGCUAUUAAGGUUCGUUUGUUCAACGAUUAA